CUAGGAUCAAGUCUCACACAUAUGAUGACUCAUGGUACAGAAACGAAUGUCACAUCAUUACUAUAUAAUAAGAGUUCUGUACAAAAUAGCUAUAUAAUUACAUCAUAAGAAGACAACGACCCACCAACCAUAGUUGACUAGGAGACGACGGCCUAGACCUCUCACGAACUCAUCGCGACAUCCUUCAUGCUCCUCAUCUUGUCGGUACCUGCUCUUGACCUAGGAGCGAUGUGAGUACAGAAAGGGUGAGCUCAUAUACGUUCAUCGCUCAACAAGUUGUGGGGAAUAAUGUGCAUGGGCUCACUUACAAUGGGGCUCAUGUGAAGUGUAAGGCUUACCAAAGGAGAUGGUUAAAGCUGAGCAUUACUUUUAAAUUUGGUCAAGUUUUAUUAGCAGUUACUAAGUAUAAAUAGAUACCAACCCGAAUAAAUAAGAGAUCACAAUUAAUAAUAACACCCACAAUGCAAUGCAAAUGACAAAUUAAGUUUAAUUCCAUAAGUUAAUAAUGUGAGUGUCCGAGUCGCUCAUGAUCGUGAGCAUGACUGAUAUACCAGUUUUACACUCUGCAGAGGUUGUGCAUCUUUACCCACAAGUCGUGUUACCCAUUUGCCAUGGGGUUAUACGGACCCCAUACACCUCUACCGAGGAAGCGAGGCAGGGUAGCACUACGAGACCUUUCCAAAGUUCCACUAGUUCGAGAAAACCCACUGCAGAUUCAGGAAGAAGGAAGCAUAGGAAUCCCUCGUCCGAAAUGCCAUCACAACAGUUUGACCCGAGGACCUCCCUAUAAUCUGCACUGACGCCUCCCCGCUUGCCCCUUUCGGGUAAGGUAAUCUCUCCCUACCUUUCCUAAUUACUUGACCAAGGGCGUCCCAUUCCACCCUUGUGGUAAGCACUAUUUUCCCGAGUGGUUGUCCAUGUUCCAAUUAACAUGAUGAUCUUAUCAUGAACAAUAAUUAAAACAACAACAAAAUUGGAACAUGAUCAUAAUAUAACAUUAGUUUCCUAAAACCAGGUAGAGCAAUAGCGAAUCUACCCAAUAGUUCAUAUGUUUGCAAGAUGCGGGAUAAAAAAUACUAGGGAAACCUACUAGGUCCCAUCAAAUUAACCUGAGCAUGUCACAGUGAUUAAUCGGAACAUUAUUAGGUAAAGAGAAAAGUGAUCAACGACACAACUUGCCUUAGACUCGAGAUACCCAGGUACUUCUCCAAGUUAAUCUUCAAGUUUCUCGUGACCUCACUGCUACUCGUAGCAAUACAUACAAAUAGGCAAGGAGUACAAUAAUAUAACAGUACACCAAACAUGAGAACAAACAACGUAAGAAUAUUCUACGCGCUGCUACGAGGUCGUAGGUUCGAAAAUCACUAAAUUCGGAGUUACAGUUAUAAAGUUAUGAUUUUCCGAAGGUUUAAGUGUUUAAUUUAAAACUAAUUAAGUACAUGAUUUUAAUCAUAGAUUUCAUAGUAAUAUAAGGUUACUAGAUGAUAAACAAUAUUAACAUGAGUUUAAUGCAACUAGAAUGGACAAUAUUAACAUGAGUUUAAUGCAACAUGAGUUAAAAUGGAUUAAUUAUGAAUUUAACAAGUUCCUAAAAUUAUUUCUAUACUAGAAAUCAUUUUCUAUACCAUUUUAUUUGAUUUAUUUACUUUCUGGGUUGCGCGCAUUAAUUCUAGGAAGUACGUGGUUCUAUUCGUAAAUAUCGGGACUCCGUUCUAAUUAUUUUCUACUAGUGUGGAUGGCGGUUUGAUUGCCCUAAAAGGUAAGGUCUCUUUUGCAAAGUUCGCAGGCUGAAGAUGUAUGGGCCUAGUUGGGCCGCAGGAUCAACCGCAGACGGCCACAAUUAGAUCUGAUCCCCCCAAACCUGUGACCGUAAUAUCAUAGAGCAACGAUGGAGAUUUAAAUAACGGAGAUCGCUUCUCACCCGCCCGAUUCAAAGAUCGACGGUGCACAAGCCAUCAGACGAAAAGGGGUCUGCAACUUCUAAUCCCGGUCGCUACCCUAGGAUCCAACGGUCGAGACGUGUUUCCCUCCUUCUAGGCACGCAGGCGGUGGUGCCGGCCGGCUUGCGAUAGAGCACUCGUCGGAGACUCUGGCAUUCGGCCCCUGGCGACCCAACACUAAUCCGGAGGAAGCUACACGAAGUACGGAAAAUGAUGAACUUGGUAGGAGCAGACGUACCAGUGUUAAUGCCGCGAUAGCCCUUGUCCACGGCAUGGGGCGGACAGCGACGUGGCCCCUUCUCCGAUGAGCAAUUCCUAUGAUCCAGCUAACCCCGCACGUGAUUACCCACAUGUGCACGUUCCCCAAGGUGUUGCAUGUAACUUUGGCCCGAUCACGGUCACCUGUUGACACGGACGGUGAAGACGCACGACGGUGGCUCAAACCCUUCGCUUAUGUCGGUAGGGGGGUUUGGUUAUAGGCGCUAG
RNAcentral lists this long non-coding RNA (2426 nucleotides) under Zea mays. RNAcentral describes it as "long non-coding RNA (ZMAY_LNC001699)". Lineage: Eukaryota; Viridiplantae; Streptophyta; Magnoliopsida; Poales; Poaceae. The record is from RNAcentral.